GGCGGACGGGUGAGUAAUGCCUAGGAAUCUGCCUGGUAGUGGGGGACAACGUUUCGAAAGGAACGCUAAUACCGCAUACGUCCUACGGGAGAAAGUGGGGGAUCUUCGGACCUCACGCUAUCAGAUGAGCCUAGGUCGGAUUAGCUAGUUGGUGAGGUAAUGGCUCACCAAGGCGACGAUCCGUAACUGGUCUGAGAGGAUGAUCAGUCACACUGGAACUGAGACACGGUCCAGACUCCUACGGGAGGCAGCAGUGGGGAAUAUUGGACAAUGGGCGAAAGCCUGAUCCAGCCAUGCCGCGUGUGUGAAGAAGGUCUUCGGAUUGUAAAGCACUUUAAGUUGGGAGGAAGGGUUGUAACCUAAUACGUUGCAAUUUUGACGUUACCGACAGAAUAAGCACCGGCUAACUCUGUGCCAGCAGCCGCGGUAAUACAGAGGGUGCAAGCGUUAAUCGGAAUUACUGGGCGUAAAGCGCGCGUAGGUGGUUUGUUAAGUUGGAUGUGAAAGCCCCGGGCUCAACCUGGGAACUGCAUCCAAAACUGGCAAGCUAGAGUACGGUAGAGGGUGGUGGAAUUUCCUGUGUAGCGGUGAAAUGCGUAGAUAUAGGAAGGAACACCAGUGGCGAAGGCGACCACCUGGACUGAUACUGACACUGAGGUGCGAAAGCGUGGGGAGCAAACAGGAUUAGAUACCCUGGUAGUCCACGCCGUAAACGAUGUCAACUAGCCGUUGGAAUCCUUGAGAUUUUAGUGGCGCAGCUAACGCAUUAAGUUGACCGCC
This 780-nucleotide ribosomal RNA is filed under the name Pseudomonas lalucatii. RNAcentral's name for it is "16S ribosomal RNA". It matches the Rfam family "Bacterial small subunit ribosomal RNA", at positions 97 to 873 of the family's 1533-position model. The record is from RNAcentral. Lineage: Bacteria; Pseudomonadati; Pseudomonadota; Gammaproteobacteria; Pseudomonadales; Pseudomonadaceae.